Molecule: long non-coding RNA, 918 nt
Filed under: Zonotrichia albicollis (white-throated sparrow)
Lineage: Eukaryota; Metazoa; Chordata; Aves; Passeriformes; Passerellidae
Description: lncRNA (ENSZALG00000013838.1)
Source: RNAcentral
CCCAAUCCCAGGAAUCCCGGCCAGAUCCCUCUGCACAGGACAGAAAUAGAUUGUAAUUGACAGAUGACAGGCUCUGGCCAAGUCCUGGUGCUUCAGAAGGGGGGAUGCAGGGAUAAGGGCUAUUAUUAUCCCUGUUAUUUUUUAUUUGGGAAGUGCUCCUACCGCCUCAAGCGCUCCCGGGAUUGCCGGCAAGAGCCUUCCUGUCCUUGGAACACGGGAUUUCUGGGAUCCAAGGGUGUGACUGGAGAUGAGCUAUGAGCUGUGGGAUGGAUGUGCUAACAACCUUUGGCAGAAAGGAGAGGACUGGACCAGCACUUCAUCCCGGCUGGAGACAUUCCAGGGCCAAGGAAUUGCCACACCAAGGAGCGGCUGGGAAGUGAGAGUCGGACAAAGCGGCGGAAGCCAGGGUGAAACAUCUCACAAAGGCCAACUAUCGCCCGGCUUUCCCAAGCAGACAUUAUUCCAUGCCACAGCAUUGGAUACAACUGGAGCCCAACUUGGCUUUGAAGGUGCAGCCCUGAGGUGGUGGGGGGAGCAUCCUCACGUUGAUCUGGUAAAAACAUCAUCCAACUCCAAUGUGCUGCAGCAAACAGGCCAGGGAGAUGAAGGAAACCACAUUAAAAACAUGAUGAAAGUUGCCUCGAGGCUCCUUAUGUCACACUUGGGCUCUGGGCACUUGGGUUUUUUUUAUUUCUUCCCUUUUUUCUUCCUUUAAUAAACCCAAACUUGGCAUUCUUUGCACACACACACAGAGGUGCAAGCCAAGGGGGACAUUAAAAGCUCACAGGCAAGAGGGGAUUUGGGUUCCUUGGCUCCCACUGGAAUUUCUGAGGCCUUGUAGCAGAUGACCUGCCUCCUUGGGUGGAAAAAAAGCAAUUUUCGUUCUAAAUAAAAAAAAAUUAGAUAAAAAUUGGUCCA